GAUCAUUACCGAGUUGAUUCGAGCUUCGGCUCGACUCUCCCACCCUCUGUGUACCUUACCUCUGUUGCUUUGGCGGGCCGCGGUCCUCCGCGGCUGGCCCCCCUCACCGGGGGCUGGCCAGCGCCCGCCAGAGGACUACAAAACUCCAGUCAGUAAACGUAUCAGUCUGAAAAACAAGUUAAUAAACUAAAACUUUCAACAACGGAUCUCUUGGUUCUGGCAUCGAUGAAGAACGCAGCGAAAUGCGAUAAGUAAUGUGAAUUGCAGAAUUCAGUGAAUCAUCGAAUCUUUGAACGCACAUUGCGCCCCUUGGUAUUCCGGGGGGCAUGCCUGUUCGAGCGUCAUUUCAACCCUCAAGCUCUGCUUGGUAUUGGGCUCCGUCCUCCUCGGACGCGCCUCAAAGACCUCGGCGGUGGCGUCUUGCCUCAAGCGUAGUAGAAAACACCUCGCUUUGGAGCGCACGGCGCCGCCCGCCGGACGAACCUUUGAAUUUUUUCUCAAGGUU
RNAcentral lists this ribosomal RNA (505 nucleotides) under Sardiniella urbana. Its description in RNAcentral is "eukaryotic LSU rRNA". The stretch from base 191 to 344 matches the Rfam family "5.8S ribosomal RNA". The record is from RNAcentral. Lineage: Eukaryota; Fungi; Ascomycota; Dothideomycetes; Botryosphaeriales; Botryosphaeriaceae.